Molecule: non-coding RNA, 24 nt
Filed under: Mus musculus (house mouse)
Lineage: Eukaryota; Metazoa; Chordata; Mammalia; Rodentia; Muridae
Source: RNAcentral
UGUGCUCUGCGGUUGUGGUUCUGC